UUUAAGCUAUCUCAAUAAACAAUUUGACUAGUAAUAGUAUCAACCUACCACUGAAAAUGGUAAACAUUGUACACCGUACCGAACAGUAGAACCGGUGUCCCUUUUAACAUUUUAAGAAAUGCAACCGAUUGAUAAAUGGAACCGGAUUAAUCAUUUUAAACGUUUUCAUAAAUCUGCAUGUAUUGCUAUUAUAUCAUAUUAUAACAAUUUAUUUCAGACCCUUACUCAGUAGGAACGAACCUUUCAACUGACAAAACAAAAUGUGAACCCUUUGUAAACCUUUUUAGGCAGCUAUGAAUAGUAAGUUAAAGUACAAGAAGUGAAAAUUAUUCUUCUCGUUUAAAUUUUUCUACAAACUGUUCAAUAAUUAUUAUUUCAUGAAAUGUGAUCAUUUUUACUUUUACGUUCCGAACACGAAAUGUGGUGUUAACCAAAAACUACAUAAUAACAGAUUUUUCUCUGUCACUCGACCAUUUCAGAAUCCAGGAACGAGCCUCAUGAUAUUGAAACGAAGAUAUCGAGAAAAGACACGGACCUCCGCCACUACCCUUACUCAGUAGGAACAAACCUUUCAACUGACAAAACAAAAUGUGAACCCUUUGUAAACCUUUUUAGGCAGCUGUGAAUAGUAAGUACAAGAAGUGAAAAAUAUUCUUCUCGUUUAAAUUUUUCUACAAACUGUUCAAUAAUCAUUACUUCAUGAAAUGUGAUCAUUUCUACUUUUACGUUCCAAACACGAACUGUGGUGUUUACCAAAGACUUUUAUAUAAUACCAGAUUUUUGUCACUCUACCAUUUCAGAAUCCAGGAACGAGCCUCAUGAUAUUGAAACGAAGAUCUCGAGAAAAGACACAGACCUCCGCCACUACCCUUACUCAGUAGGAACAAACCUUUCAACUGACAAAACAAAAUGUGAACCCUUUGUAAACCUUUUUAGGCAGCUGUGAAUAAAUCCAGGAACGAGCCUCAUGAUAUUGAAACGAAGAUCACGAGAAAAGACACGGACCUCCGCCACUGUGAGAUACUGCUGUAACCAGACAUUUCAAGCUAUCUUAAUGAACAAUUUGACUAGUAAUAGUAUCAACCUACCACUGAAGAUGGUAAACAUUGUACACCCUACCGAACAGUAGAACCGGUAUCCCUUUUAACAUUUUAAGAAAUGCAACCGAUUGAUAAAUGGAAUCGGAUUUUUUUGAGAGAUAACUUUAAAUCAUUCUAAACGUUUUUAUAAAUCGGCAUUCACCGAGAAAUUUAGAGAUUUAUUUUGAAAUUUAAAAAAUAAAUGUUUUGCGGGGUGUGAUUAUUUUUCUUUAAGGUGUACAUUAUUACUUACCAUUUUUAACUGAUGUUUUUUAAAACAAGAAAUUUAAAUAAAUUUUACCUUACAAUUUACAUUACUUUUUUAAAGUACUAAUUUAAAAGCACAUAGUUGCAUUAUUUUUGACUUUUCAGUUUUAAAUUACUUCGUUA
Bolinopsis microptera is the source of this 1469-nucleotide long non-coding RNA. RefSeq lists it as uncharacterized. Lineage: Eukaryota; Metazoa; Ctenophora; Tentaculata; Lobata; Bolinopsidae. The transcript has 4 exons. The record is from RefSeq and is a predicted model, not a curated record.